RNAcentral lists this long non-coding RNA (776 nucleotides) under Astyanax mexicanus (Mexican tetra). RNAcentral describes it as "lncRNA (ENSAMXG00005004959.1)". The record is from RNAcentral. Lineage: Eukaryota; Metazoa; Chordata; Actinopteri; Characiformes; Acestrorhamphidae.
UAAACGAGUAACAAAAAUAUGAUAUUUCUUUUUAAUCUUUUUAUUAUUAUUUCUUGUUCCAGCCUGGAAAGUCGUGGAUCCAGACCACCUUUUACAAGAGGGAAUGUGUGAAGUUUUUGCCAGCAUCACGAGAUCAUCACAGGUGUUCUUCUUAAAUGCUUAUCGUCAGAACUACUUUAAGAAUGUUUUCUAAAUGAAAUAUUUUGGAGUAUUUCUGAGUGGAAUUCUCUCUGGUGUUUUUCAGGUGUUCUCCGGUUUGCCAUGUCUGUCAAAACUUAGUCAGGUGCUGCUGUGGGAGGCUGAUAGGAGAGCAUGUGUACCUGGACUCCGCCUCCCCGGUGCUGUCCUCCUCCUCCUCCUCGUCCGGUCAGGAGGUAUGGUCCGUGGCUCGGCACACCAAACUCAGCCCAACCGACGCCUUUGGGUCCAUCGACUUCCAGGGCAGCACCAAGCGGUCCUGUCGCGCCAAGGUGUGUGGUGGUGUCCCUGGAGCCGGUUUAUUACGAUAAAAACACAAAUUACACAUUCGUUAUUAUUCAACUUGUUUCAUCACAAUGCUCAAAGUGUCGAACUAUAACAAACUGUCCCGCAUCACACACAUUGCCUCAAAGAUCAUAGGCCUCCCCUCACAUAACCUGACAACCCUAAAUAACAAGGCCAUCUGAGGAAGGGCUAUCACAAUAACACAAGACCCGGACCACCCAUUAUACACUGUUUUCACUUUGCUCCCAUCAGGUCAGAGAUACAGAACAAUAGCUUGCAGAAAAACACGCUUU